Molecule: ribosomal RNA, 199 nt
Filed under: Escherichia coli
Lineage: Bacteria; Pseudomonadati; Pseudomonadota; Gammaproteobacteria; Enterobacterales; Enterobacteriaceae
Description: partial 16S ribosomal RNA
Rfam family: Bacterial small subunit ribosomal RNA
Source: RNAcentral
AAAUUGAAGAGUUUGAUCAUGGCUCAGAUUGAACGCUGGCGGCAGGCCUAACACAUGCAAGUCGAACGGUAACAGGAAGAAGCUUGCUUCUUUGCUGACGAGUGGCGGACGGGUGAGUAAUGUCUGGGAAACUGCCUGAUGGAGGGGGAUAACUACUGGAAACGGUAGCUAAUACCGCAUAACGUCGCAAGACCAAAGA